UACGUAGGGGGCAAGCGUUGUCCGGAUUUAUUGGGCGUAAAGAGCGUGUAGGCGGCUGGGUAGGUCCGUUGUGAAAACUCGAGGCUCAACCUCGAGACGCCGAUGGAAACCCUCCAGCUAGAGUCCGGAAGAGGAGAGUGGAAUUCCUGGUGUAGCGGUGAAAUGCGCAGAUAUCAGGAAGAACACCCGUGGCGAAGGCGGUUCUCUGGGACGGUACUGACGCUGAGACGCGAAAGCGUGGGGAGCGAACAGG
RNAcentral lists this ribosomal RNA (253 nucleotides) under uncultured bacterium. Its description in RNAcentral is "partial 16S ribosomal RNA". It matches the Rfam family "Bacterial small subunit ribosomal RNA", at positions 524 to 776 of the family's 1533-position model. The record is from RNAcentral.